RNAcentral lists this transfer RNA (71 nucleotides) under Loxodonta africana (African savanna elephant). It matches the Rfam family "tRNA". Rfam says of the family: Transfer RNA (tRNA) molecules are approximately 80 nucleotides in length. Lineage: Eukaryota; Metazoa; Chordata; Mammalia; Proboscidea; Elephantidae. The record is from Rfam by way of RNAcentral.
GCAAUGGUGGUUCAGUGGUAGAAUUCUCACCUCCUAUGUGGGAAAUUCAGGUUCAAUUCCCUGCCAAUGCA